AAUUCAAUGUGAUGAAUAUAUUUUUUAAACAGUUAUCCCUGUCAUAAGAAAUUUUGAUGAAAACUUGUUUUCUGAAAGAAAA
Small nucleolar RNA from Sitodiplosis mosellana (orange wheat blossom midge), 82 nucleotides. RefSeq annotates it as small nucleolar RNA R38. The record is from RefSeq and is a predicted model, not a curated record. The transcript has a single exon. NCBI's taxonomy places the organism in Eukaryota, Metazoa, Arthropoda, Insecta, Diptera, Cecidomyiidae.